RNAcentral lists this small RNA (168 nucleotides) under Chelatococcus asaccharovorans. RNAcentral's name for it is "caulobacter sRNA CC2171". It matches the Rfam family "caulobacter sRNA CC2171", at positions 1 to 138 of the family's 159-position model. The record is from RNAcentral. Lineage: Bacteria; Pseudomonadati; Pseudomonadota; Alphaproteobacteria; Hyphomicrobiales; Chelatococcaceae.
CAACUAUUGAAAGGAGGUGAUCUGGUGUCUCAUUGUCGCCAUCUACGGUCGUCAGUGUCGGUCAGCUGGAUCUUCGCCUCUGGCGGAGUUUGCACCGCGUAAGCGAUGUCUGCUGCUCCGAUCAGGCCGUGGUCUGACAAUGGAAGGGCUGUCCUUCGGGGCAGCCCU